This 1089-nucleotide long non-coding RNA is filed under the name Apteryx haastii (Great spotted kiwi). RNAcentral's name for it is "lncRNA (ENSAHAG00000014420.1)". Lineage: Eukaryota; Metazoa; Chordata; Aves; Apterygiformes; Apterygidae. The record is from RNAcentral.
GACCCAUCGCCACGUGCUGCACUGGGCAACCCCAUGGCUUUGGGGCAGCUGUACAGCAAGGAGCAGGGCUCGGCGCGGCUCAGCAGGGCUUUCGAUCAGUUGGUGCCCGCGKUGGCUGGCGCCCACACUCUGUGCCUGGCGGUGGGGGGGGGGCCUCCGGGUGUCUGGGAGGGUCUUUCUUCUGCCCAUCUUCUUGCUUGCCUAGUCACAAUUCUCAAGAAAAUAACUUGGGGCUGCACUAAUCGUCCCUCACUCAAAUUCACCUUCAGCCUGCUCGCUCCAGAGCUUUUAAACCUCCUCAGCACUUACCAGCACUCUCGGCCAAGCCUGCCGCCACAGGAGCCAUCCUCCCGCCGACGCCGCGCCGCAACCCUGCUCCAGGGCCCGCCUGCCCCCCUGCUCCGCCACGCCGCCUCCGCAGGGACGAGCACGUGCCCCGGCCUGCGCUGCCAACGAAUCGGUGCCCUAAACACCACACACGCAAAACGCAAAGUCACACCCGCGCUCCAGCACACCUUGCCCUGUGCUCCCGGCGUGGCACCAGGCCCCAGCCCGCUCCCCCCACACACACACUCACCCCGCACCGCCGCCUCCACGCAGCGACGGCCGCAGCGGGCAGGACACAGCCCGAUGCCCGACGCCUCCCGAACCUACGCGUUCGCCUCACCAGGGGCCCCAUAUCCUUCACUCCAGGCGGCCUCCGCCCUCACCCGCCGCCGAGCAAAAACGCCGACCCUGCUCGCCACCAUGCUGCUCCCGCCGCUGCGCAUGCGCUACCCGCCGCGCAUGCAGCGGCGGCCCGGCGCUCGAGCACCGCGCAUGCACCAGCUCGGACCGGCGCGAGCGGGAGGGGCGGGGGGGCGAGCGGGAGCGAGGCGAUACCCGCAAUGGCGCCCUCGCGUGCUCGCGGCGCGGCACUGCAGCCAGGCGGCUCACGUGUGCGAACCGCAGCCCGCCGCGGCAGCCCGGGGCUCCCACCGAGCAGCGAGCGCCCCGAGGCUGCCCGUGCCCGUGCCCGUGCCCGUGCCCGUGCCCGUGCCCGAGAGAGCGGCGGGGAUCAGCGAGCAGGCUCUGGUGCUGCCCCGGUGA